This is a long non-coding RNA of Spinacia oleracea (spinach), 1369 nucleotides long. RefSeq lists it as uncharacterized. NCBI's taxonomy places the organism in Eukaryota, Viridiplantae, Streptophyta, Magnoliopsida, Caryophyllales, Amaranthaceae. The record is from RefSeq and is a predicted model, not a curated record. The transcript is spliced from 2 exons.
UUCUAAAGGAAAAGAAUCAGGAAACUUCUCCUCUUCACUCUCAUUUUCUCUCUCCUCAUUUGACUCUUCCUCUUCUCCCGUCACCCGAUCCUCCCUCUCUUCACCGGCUAUUCCUCUCUCCUCCAUCUUCGUUGUUCGCCAGCAUCGUGGUGGCCGUUGUUUUCGUCGUCGACGUUGCUACAACCUCGCAAAUAGGUAAUCUCUCUAUCCCAUUUCGUUAUUUGAAUUGAUUAAAACCCUAAUUUAUCAAACCCUAACUCCAUUUUCGUUGGUUCUCAACCCUCCUCCGGUGAGAGGCCGUGUCGCCGCCUCCGUUGGCUCACCACCGUCACUGGUGACCGUCGGGUGGUUGCGGUUGCUGUUGUUGUGUGGUUGUCCUGUGUCUUCCUCCUACGCUACCCCCUACCUCGCACUGCUUUCUCUCUCUUUCUCCGCUCGCCGAAGCUUCGUGGCCCGGUGGAGCCGCUGCCGCUGGUGGUGUUGUUGCAGUGGUGUUGACUAUUGCUUCUCUACUUUCCCAUUUCCUUAAGGGUAUAAUUCAAAACCCUCUAAUUCUAUUUCAAUUAUUUUCUUUUAGUCCCUUUGAUUUUAGUAUUUAUUUUAGUGAUUAGUGAGUAAUUCAAUUAUUAAAUUUAAAUUAUUUUGAUAACAUAAUUGAGAAAUUCAAGUUAAUGUUUUCCUUUUUCCUAAAAAUAUUUGUCUAAACAAAAAUAUGAUUUCAGAAUUCUUAGAUUGAUUUGGGAAUUGAACAAGUAUUGUAAUUAUGGUUUCAAUCACAGAUUAAGUAUAAUUGAAUAUGGUUUUAUUAAAAGCAAAGCAAGCUUUAUAGAUAAUCUUAAAAGAAACUCAGAAGUUUAUUAGAAGGUUCGAUAAAGUUAUUAUGACUCGUGAGUAUCUAAUGGUUCAUGUCCUCAUCUGUUUGAGGUAUAAUGAAGUAGAGAAUGAACAAGGAGAAUCGUAUCAUGGAAGUUGAGUGGAGAAUGGUGAUCGGUAUAUAGCCUUGAGAGUUAUGAAUGGAUAUUAAAGAGUUAAAUUUUUUUGCAGGUAGCAAGAGUUAGGUCUCAGUUCAUAUUCAAGGUUCGUAGAGUUCUCAAAUGGCCUUAUGUGUCCAAGGUUGGACUAUGGAAUCGUCAAAUGUAAUUUAGUUCAUAGAGUUUGUUAAAGGGCUGUAUAAUUUCUUCCUAAAGCUUUUUAGUUUAUAAUUUGUGGGUUAUAUAUAUAUAUCUGUAUUGGAGUAGUAGUGAAGUUAAGUUUCUUUGGUUUAAAGUUAAAUGUGCUUAGAAGUAGCUCAUUAAGUGUGGGCUGUUAAAGUGGCACCCUGGUAAUGUUUUGGGAUAUGUUAUAUAUUUGGAAUGAUGUCAUUAAAGCA